Long non-coding RNA from Oncorhynchus keta (chum salmon), 499 nucleotides. RefSeq lists it as uncharacterized. The record is from RefSeq and is a predicted model, not a curated record. The transcript has 3 exons. Lineage: Eukaryota; Metazoa; Chordata; Actinopteri; Salmoniformes; Salmonidae.
UGUGUAAAAACAGAUCCCUUCAAAACAGGCAGAUCAGUCUACAGGAGAUUAAGGACACCACAUCAGAAAUGCAAGAGGUAGCAUUUUUAUAUGGUCCUCUGGUGACAUGGUAGCAACGUGACCGUACCCAUCUAGUCCUCUGAUAUAACAUGGUACCAACAUGACCGUACCCAUCUAGUCCUCUGAUAUAACAUGGUACCAACAUGACCGUACCCAUCUAGUCCUCUGAUAUGACAAGGUACCAACAUGACCGUACCCAUCUAGUCCUCUGAUAUAACAUGGUACCAACGUGACCGUACCCAUCUGGUCCUGAUAUGACAUGGUAGCAACAUGCCGUACCCAUCUAGUCCUCUGAUAUGACAUGGUAGCAACAUGACCGUACCCAUCUAGUCCUCUGAUAUAACAUGGUAGCAACAUGACCAUACCCAUCUGGUCCUGAUAUGACAAGGUAGCAACAUGACCGUACCCAUCUAGUCCCCUGAUAUGACAAGGGGGUAAC